AGAGUUUGAUCCUGGCUCAGAAUCAACGCUGGCGGCGCGCUUAACACAUGCAAGUCGAACGAGAAAGCGGGGGGCAACUCUCGCAAGUACAGUGGCGUACGGGUGAGUAACACGUGGGUUAUCUACCUCUUAGUGGGGAAUAACGCUGGGAAACCGGCGCUAAUACCGCAUAAUCUCGAGAGAGGAAAGCAGCAAUGCGC
Molecule: ribosomal RNA, 200 nt
Filed under: uncultured bacterium
Lineage: Bacteria
Description: partial 16S ribosomal RNA
Rfam family: Bacterial small subunit ribosomal RNA
Source: RNAcentral